GGAAGGGUUGCAGCUCAGUGAUAGGGCACUUGCUUUGCAUGCAAAAGGUCACAGGGUUCAAUCCCCAGUACCUCCA
This 76-nucleotide transfer RNA is filed under the name Sphaerodactylus townsendi. Its description in RNAcentral is "tRNA-Ala". The record is from RNAcentral. Lineage: Eukaryota; Metazoa; Chordata; Lepidosauria; Squamata; Sphaerodactylidae.